RNAcentral lists this ribosomal RNA (1437 nucleotides) under uncultured bacterium. Its description in RNAcentral is "bacterial SSU rRNA". It matches the Rfam family "Bacterial small subunit ribosomal RNA". The record is from RNAcentral.
GACAAACGCUGGCGGCGUGCCUAAUGCAUGCAAGUCGGACGGUUUUUGUGGCCCUUCGGGGCUGCAAGAAUAGUGGCGGACGGCUGAGUAACGCGUGAGUAACCUGCCCUUGGGUGGGGGACAACCCCGAGAAAUCGGGGCUAAUACCGCAUACGUUCUUCAGGUCUUGAUCUGGAGGGGAAAGCCGCAAGGCGCCCGAGGAUGGGCUCGCGUCCUAUCAGGUAGUUGGUGGGGUAACGGCUUACCAAGCCGAUGACGGGUAGCUGGUCUGAGAGGACGACCAGCCAGAGGGGGACUGAGACACGGCCCCCACUCCUACGGGAGGCAGCAGCAGGGAAUCUUGGGCAAUGGGCGCAAGCCUGACCCAGCGACGCCGCGUGGGGGACGAAGGCCUUCGGGUCGUAAACCCCUUUUCCAGGGGAAGAGAAAGGACGGUACCCUGGGAAUAAGCCUCGGCUAACUACGUGCCAGCAGCCGCGGUAAUACGUAGGAGGCGAGCGUUGUCCGGAUUUACUGGGCGUAAAGGGCGUGUAGGCGGCCGGGCAAGUCCCCUGUGAAAUCUCCCGGCUCAACCGGGAUAGGUCAGAGGAUACUACCUGGCUUGAGGACAGCAGAGGAGGGUGGAAUUCCCGGUGUAGCGGUGGCAUGCGUAGAUAUCGGGAAGAACACCAGUGGCGAAGGCGGCCCUCUGGGCUGUACCUGACGCUGAGGCGCGAAACCGUGGGGAGCGAACCGGAUUAGAUACCCGGGUAGUCCACGGCCUAAACGAUGGACGCUAGGUAUGGGGGGUAUCGACCCCCUCCGUGCCGAAGCUAACGCGUUAAGCGUCCCGCCUGGGGAGUACGGCCGCAAGGCUAAAACUCAAAGGAAUUGACGGGGCCCCGCACAAGCGGUGGAGCGUGUGGUUUAAUUCGAUGCUAAGCGAAGAACCUUACCAGGGUUUGACAUGUGGGUGGUAGGGACCCGAAAGGGCGACGACCUCGAUUCGUCGAGGAGCCUACACAGGUGCUGCAUGGCUGUCGUCAGCUCGUGCCGUGAGGUGUUGGGUUAAGUCCCGCAACGAGCGCAACCCCUGCCGUUAGUUGUUUUCUCUAGCGGUACUGCCCCCCACAAGGGGGAGGAAGGUGGGGAUGACGUCAAGUCAGCAUGGCCCUUACACCCUGGGCUACACACACGCUACAAUGGUCGGUACAAUGGGUUGCCAAGGCGCGAGCCGGAGCCAAUCCCACCAAAGCCGGCCCCAGUUGGGAUUGCAGGCUGAAACCCGCCUGCAUGAACGCGGAAUCGCUAGUAACCGCAGGUCAGCACACUGCGGUGAAUACGUUCCCGGGGCUUGUACACACCGCCCGUCACGUCAUGGAAGCUGACAACACUUGAAGUCGCCGAGCUAACCCGCAAGGGAGGCAGGUGCCGAGGGUGGGGUCAGUGACUGGGACG